GCCCGGGUGGUGAAAUUGGUAGACACAAGGGACUUAAAAUCCCUCGGACAUAAAACGUCCGUGCCGGUUCGAUUCCGGCCCCGGGCACCA
Molecule: transfer RNA, 90 nt
Filed under: Nitrosomonas stercoris
Lineage: Bacteria; Pseudomonadati; Pseudomonadota; Betaproteobacteria; Nitrosomonadales; Nitrosomonadaceae
Description: tRNA-Leu
Rfam family: tRNA
About the family: Transfer RNA (tRNA) molecules are approximately 80 nucleotides in length. Their secondary structure includes four short double-helical elements and three loops (D, anti-codon, and T loops).
Source: RNAcentral